CCUACGGGAGACAGCAGUGGGGAAUAUUGGGCAAUGGGCGCAAGCCUGACCCAGCAACGCCGCGUGAAGGAAGAAGGCUCUCGGGUUGUAAACUUCUUUUCUUAGGGACGAAGAAAGUGACGGUACCGGAGGAAUAAGCCACGGCUAACUACGUGCCAGAAGCCGCGCGAAUACGUAGGGGGCAAUCGUUAUCCGGAUGUAUUGGGUGUAAAGGGCGUGUAGGUGGGAGCGCAAGUCAGAUGUGAAAACUCAGGGCUCAACCCUGAGCCUGCAUUUGAAACUGUGUUUCUUGAGUGCUGGAGAGGCAAGCGGAAUUCGGUGUGUAGCGGUGAAAUGCGUAGAUAUACGGAAGAACACCGGUGGCGAAGGCAGAUUGCUGGACAGUAACUGACGCUGAGGCGCGAAAGCGUGGGUAGCAAACAGGAUUAGAUACCCCAGUAGUC
This 443-nucleotide ribosomal RNA is filed under the name uncultured bacterium. RNAcentral describes it as "partial 16S ribosomal RNA". It matches the Rfam family "Bacterial small subunit ribosomal RNA", at positions 338 to 795 of the family's 1533-position model. The record is from RNAcentral.